RNAcentral lists this ribosomal RNA (333 nucleotides) under uncultured bacterium. Its description in RNAcentral is "bacterial SSU rRNA". It matches the Rfam family "Bacterial small subunit ribosomal RNA", at positions 30 to 361 of the family's 1533-position model. The record is from RNAcentral.
AUUGAACGCUGGCGGCGUGCUUAACACAUGCAAGUCGAUCGGUAACAGGUGUAGCAAUACAUGCUGACGAGAGGCGGACGGGUGAGUAAUGCUUGGGAAUCUGCCUAUUAGUGGGGGACAACCCGGGAAACUCGGGCUAAUACCGCAUACGCUCUACGGAGGGAAGCCGGGGACCGGCAAGGCCUGGCGCUAAUAGAUGAGCCCAAGUCGGAUUAGCUAGUUGGUAGGGUAACGGCCUACCAAGGCGACAAUCCGUAGCUGGUCUGAGAGGACGACCAGCCACACCGGAACUGAGACACGGUCCGGACUCCUACGGGAGGCAGCAGUGGGGAA